UACGGAGGGUGCAAGCGUUAUCCGGAUUCACUGGGUUUAAAGGGUGCGUAGGUGGGCAGGUAAGUCAGUGGUGAAAUCUCCGGGCUUAACCCGGAAACUGCCAUUGAUACUAUUUGUCUUGAAUAUCCUGGAGGUGAACGGAAUAUGUCAUGUAGCGGUGAAAUGCUUAGAUAUGACAUAGAACACCAAUUGCGAAGGCAGUUCACUACGGGAUCAUUGACACUGAGGCACGAAAGCGUGGGGAUCAAACAGG
Molecule: ribosomal RNA, 253 nt
Filed under: uncultured bacterium
Lineage: Bacteria
Also listed under: 1 other name
Description: partial 16S ribosomal RNA
Rfam family: Bacterial small subunit ribosomal RNA
Source: RNAcentral